This 974-nucleotide long non-coding RNA is filed under the name Citrus maxima (pomelo). Its description in RNAcentral is "long non-coding RNA (CMAX_LNC000083)". The record is from RNAcentral. Lineage: Eukaryota; Viridiplantae; Streptophyta; Magnoliopsida; Sapindales; Rutaceae.
UACAGUAUUAGUACUUUGAUAACAACUUUACAAUUGCAAAUGCAUUAAAAAAUAUAUGUUUUUAUGAACUAACGAUAUUUUCCGUUCAGUGGAUGAUGUGUACCUCUUGAUAGGAUCUGCAAAUAUAAACCAAAGAUCAAUGGAUGGGCAAAGAGACACUGAAAUUGCAAUAGGGUGUUACCAGCUACCCAAAAAUGAUGAUCAAAACAGCGAAGAUAUUAGUGCAUACCGAUUGUCGCUAUGGUACGAACAUACUGGACUUGCAGAGGGACUAUUUCGAGAACCUGAAAGCCUGGAAUGUGUGCAGAAAAUAUGUUCAAUAGGAGAUGAAAUGUGGAAUAUUUACAGUGGUGAAGAAGUUGUAGACAUGGACGGUGUUCACCUGGUAACUUAUCCUGUGAAUGUAACACCUGAUGGAUUGAUUGAGGAUCUUGUUGAUGAAGGUGGAAAUUUUCCUGAUACAAAAACUCCAGUGAAGGGAAAGAGAUCAAAAGUAUUGCCUCCCAUAUGCACCACUUAGUUAUAUAUGAAUCUGUGGCUUUGCUGAAACUUGUACACAUUUGAAAGCUGUGAAGACAUGAAUGUAUGAUAUCGAUGUAAAAACUAUAAGCACCAGAGUUUAAUUAUAAAUUUUAGAAAAAAUAGAAAAAAAUAUAUUUAGAGAAGGGGGGGGGGGGGUGUAGAUUUUAUUUAUGAAAGAAAUUAUAAAGAAGGUUACUGUAACAUGUAUCUAGAUCCAUUUUCUAAAACAAAGUUGUAUGAACUUGGCCGCAGGACUUAGAGCAGCUUUCCCAGAAGCCCAAAAAGUUGAAUAUAGAAUAUCAUCAACUGGUCUCAAUAAGCUGAAUACCUGAUGUCAAUUUCUAAAAGUUGACUGUCUCAUGUCCAUUUUUAUAUUAAGCAAUGUGCUGGGUCAUCUCUUUAAUAGCAUUUCCUCACAAGCAACUCUGACGGAUAAUGACAAGCAAAUUCAC